This 253-nucleotide ribosomal RNA is filed under the name uncultured prokaryote. RNAcentral's name for it is "partial 16S ribosomal RNA". It matches the Rfam family "Bacterial small subunit ribosomal RNA", at positions 525 to 777 of the family's 1533-position model. The record is from RNAcentral.
AUGUAGGGUGCAAGCGUUAAUCGGAAUUACUGGGCGUAAAGCGUGCGCAGGCGGUUUUGUAAGACAGAGGUGAAAUCCCCGGGCUCAACCCGGGAACUGCGUCCGAUACUGGCAGGCUUGAAUCCGGGAGAGGGAUGCGGAAUUCCAGGUGUAGCGGUGAAAUGCGUAGAUAUCUGGAGGAACACCGGUGGCGAAGGCGGCAUCCUGGACCGGCAUUGACGCUGAGGCGCGAAAGCCAGGGGAGCAAACGGGA